UUCCCUUUUGAGAGGAGCCACGCGUGAGGAAAGUCCGGGCAACAAAGAGCACCAUGCUUCCUAACGGGAAGGUGCGGGUAACCGCACAGACAACGUGACAGAAAAUAACCGCCCCAUUUAUGGCGGGGGAGCUCCCCGAAAGGGUUGAGCGCAUGCACCCCACCGGGGUAAGGGUGAAAAGGCGGGGUAAGAGCCCACCGACGCCAUUGCGAGAUGGCGUGCCGCACGUCUGAUGGGUUGCAAGGUCAAGUAUACCGGCAACGGUCGGCGUAAGCCGUCCAAAUGGGCUGCUCGCUCAUUGCCGGGGGGUAGACCGCUUGAGCCCGCGGGCAACCGCGCGGCGUAGAUAAAUGACGGGGCGGCACGGCGCGACAGCCUUCGCGGCAGUCGGAGCCUCAUUGAAAUAGUGCCGACAUAACCCGGCUUAUAGCCCGGCCGC
This 439-nucleotide RNase P RNA is filed under the name human gut metagenome. RNAcentral's name for it is "Bacterial RNase P class A". It matches the Rfam family "Bacterial RNase P class A". Rfam says of the family: Ribonuclease P (RNase P) is a ubiquitous endoribonuclease, found in archaea, bacteria and eukarya as well as chloroplasts and mitochondria. Its best characterised activity is the generation of mature 5'-ends of tRNAs by cleaving the 5'-leader elements of precursor-tRNAs. Cellular RNase Ps are ribonucleoproteins. The record is from RNAcentral.